RNAcentral lists this long non-coding RNA (754 nucleotides) under Gallus gallus (chicken). RNAcentral describes it as "lncRNA (ENSGALG00010017998.1)". Lineage: Eukaryota; Metazoa; Chordata; Aves; Galliformes; Phasianidae. The record is from RNAcentral.
CAAGGGAGGCUGCAGAGGGAAGAGAGCUGCAUCCGACUGGGCUCCAGGCAAGGUCACUGAAAGCUCUGGAUUAUACCCAGGCAGCACGGACACCGUAAUAUGCAAGCCCUGAAACUGCAGCGCCUGCUCCACUACACAGCAAAAUAGGUCCAGACCCAUGGCCCAUCUGGCUGAGACCUGGGGAGACAGGAUGCUGAGCCACAUGGGCAUCGAACCUCCAAGUUGUUCCCCCUCAGAUCUCCCCACCUCCCACCUCUUUUAUCAGCUGCUGACAAGACUUGCCAUGUGCGUAGGUGGCUCCCAAGCUUACAAGAUGAUUCCCCACACCCCCCACCCCUACUCAAAAGUGUUCAGGAUUUUGGAGGGGGGGGGGGGGGGGGGGGGGGGGGGGGGGGGGCAGAGCAUUCCUCCGUCUGCAAGAGAUGUGCGAUGCUUUCACAGUGCUCCAUGUGGUAACUCCCUCCCGGGAUUUCACAUGACAGCAUCUUCCAUGGAAAGUCACAGCAGGGAGUGGAAGAUUGUCAUGCAGUAUGUGUGGGUGUUACGAGAGAGCAGAGUAGGAUGAGAAGAUGGAGGGGAGAGGGGGUGUAACCAUAGAGCAAACCAGAAUCCUAUUGAAAGAGCCUUGAAUUCCCGAGCCCAAGGCUCCCCUCUCCUGUCUUUUGCUCUUCAUUUAAAAGAAUGCCAGUCCUUGUCAGUCCUGCAGAGAAAAGGGGAAUCAAACAGAAACAUCUCUUUGUUCCCUGAACACGUC